This 483-nucleotide ribosomal RNA is filed under the name uncultured Sphingomonas sp. RNAcentral's name for it is "bacterial SSU rRNA". It matches the Rfam family "Bacterial small subunit ribosomal RNA", at positions 39 to 568 of the family's 1533-position model. The record is from RNAcentral. Lineage: Bacteria; Pseudomonadati; Pseudomonadota; Alphaproteobacteria; Sphingomonadales; Sphingomonadaceae.
GCGGCAUGCCUAACACAUGCAAGUCGAACGAAGGCUUCGGCCUUAGUGGCGCACGGGUGCGUAACGCGUGGGAAUCUGCCCUUGGGUUCGGAAUAACUCAGAGAAAUUUGAGCUAAUACCGGAUGAUGACGUAAGUCCAAAGAUUUAUCGCCCAAGGAUGAGCCCGCGUAGGAUUAGCUUGUUGGUGAGGUAAAAGCUCACCAAGGCGACGAUCCUUAGCUGGUCUGAGAGGAUGAUCAGCCACACUGGGACUGAGACACGGCCCAGACUCCUACGGGAGGCAGCAGUGGGGAAUAUUGGACAAUGGGCGAAAGCCUGAUCCAGCAAUGCCGCGUGAGUGAUGAAGGCCUUAGGGUUGUAAAGCUCUUUUACCCGGGAAGAUAAUGACCGUACCGGGAGAAUAAGCCCCGGCUAACUCCGUGCCAGCAGCCGCGGUAAUACGGAGGGGGCUAGCGUUAUUCGGAAUUACUGGGCGUAAAGCGC